GCGCGCUUAGCUCAGUUGGCUAGAGCAUUCGACUGAUACUCGGAGGGUCCUAGGUUCGAAUCCUAGAGCGCGCA
This 74-nucleotide transfer RNA is filed under the name Candidatus Magasanikiibacteriota bacterium. RNAcentral's name for it is "tRNA-Ile". It matches the Rfam family "tRNA". Rfam says of the family: Transfer RNA (tRNA) molecules are approximately 80 nucleotides in length. Their secondary structure includes four short double-helical elements and three loops (D, anti-codon, and T loops). The record is from RNAcentral. Lineage: Bacteria; Candidatus Magasanikiibacteriota.